AUUGAACGCUGGCGGCAGGCCUAACACAUGCAAGUCGAGCGGAUGAAGGGAGCUUGCUCCUGGAUUCAGCGGCGGACGGGUGAGUAAUGCCUAGGAAUCUGCCUGGUAGUGGGGGAUAACGUCCGGAAACGGGCGCUAAUACCGCAUACGUCCUGAGGGAGAAAGUGGGGGACCUUCGGACCUCACGCUAUCAGAUGAGCCUAGGUCGGAUUAGCUAGUUGGUGGGGUAAAGGCCUACCAAGGCGACGAUCCGUAACUGGUCUGAGAGGAUGAUCAGUCACACUGGAACUGAGACACGGUCCAGACUCCUACGGGAGGCAGCAGUGGGGAAUAUUGGACAAUGGGCGAAAGCCUGAUCCAGCCAUGCCGCGUGUGUGAAGAAGGUCUUCGGAUUGUAAAGCACUUUAGGUUGGGAGGAAGGGCAGUAAGUUAAUACCUUGCUGUUUUGACGUUACCAACAGAAUAAGCACCGGCUAACUUCGUG
RNAcentral lists this ribosomal RNA (484 nucleotides) under uncultured bacterium. RNAcentral's name for it is "partial 16S ribosomal RNA". It matches the Rfam family "Bacterial small subunit ribosomal RNA", at positions 30 to 507 of the family's 1533-position model. The record is from RNAcentral.